Molecule: ribosomal RNA, 477 nt
Filed under: uncultured soil bacterium
Lineage: Bacteria
Description: bacterial SSU rRNA
Rfam family: Bacterial small subunit ribosomal RNA
Source: RNAcentral
AGGACGAACGCUGGCGGCGUGCUUAACACAUGCAAGUCGAACGGUAAGGCCCCUUCGGGGGUACACGAGUGGCGAACGGGUGAGUAACACGUGGGUAAUCUGCCCUGCACUUCGGGAUAAGCCUGGGAAACUGGGUCUAAUACCGGAUAUGAGCUCCUGCCGCAUGGUGGGGGUUGGAAAGUUUUUCGGUGCAGGGAUGAGUCCGCGGCCUAUCAGCUUGUUGGUGGGGUAAUGGCCUACCAAGGCGACGACGGGUAGCCGGCCUGGAGAGGGUGAUCGGCCACACUGGGGGCUGAGACACGGCCCAGACUCCUACGGGAGGCAGCAGUGGGGAAUAUUGCACAAGUGGGCGGAAGCCUGAUGCAGCGACGCCGCGUGGGGGAUGGACGGUCUUCGGAUUGUAAACCCUUUCGAGUAGGACGAAGCGAAAGUGACGGUACCUGCAGAGAAGCACGCUAACUACGUGCCAGCAGCCGC